GUGGGGAAUAUUGGGCAAUGGGGGAAACCCUGACCCAGCGACGCCGCGUGAGGGAAGAAGGCCUUAGGGUCGUAAACCUCUGUUGUGUGGGAAGAAGAGCGUGACGGUACCACACGAGGAAGUCCCGGCUAACUACGUGCCAGCAGCCGCGGUAAUACGUAGGGGACGAGCGUUGUCCGGAUUUACUGGGCGUAAAGGGCGCGUAGGCGGUCAUUUAAGUCAGCUGUGAAAUGGUUUGGCUUAACCGGAUCAUGCGGUUGAAACUGGAUGACUGGAGUGCUGGAGAGGCAAGUGGAAUUCCCAGUGUAGCGGUGAAAUGCACAGAGAUUGGGAGGAACACCAGUGGCGAAGGCGGCUUGCUGGGCCGAAACUGACGCUGAGGCGCGAAAGCGUGGGGAGCAAACAGGAUUAGAUACCCGAGUAGUCC
This 427-nucleotide ribosomal RNA is filed under the name uncultured bacterium. RNAcentral describes it as "partial 16S ribosomal RNA". It matches the Rfam family "Bacterial small subunit ribosomal RNA", at positions 354 to 796 of the family's 1533-position model. The record is from RNAcentral.